UGUUGCUUAUAAAACACAUAUAUUUAUAUAUAUUUUUUUAAUUUUGUAAACAGUCCUACAAUGUACUGCUGAGUUCAUAUUUUUCCAAUUCGAGAAUAAUUGAAGUUUGAUUCUACAAGACCAUGUCUCGAGGAGAACGGCGAUGGAAGCUAAGCUUAGAUCUGAGACUCUUGUCUGCGGCUAUAGGAGAACGACGACUGAAGCUUCAAUCUAAGACUCUAGUCUGCGACUGGAGAACGGCGACUGGAGCUUCGAUCUGAGACUCUGCUCUGCGACUGUAGGAGAACGGUGACUGGAGCUUCGAUCUGAGACUCUGCUCUGCGACUGUAGGAGAACGGUGACUGGAGCUUCGAUCUGAGACUCUGCUCUACGAUUGUAGGAGAACGGUGACUGAAGCUUCGAUAUGAAACGGCCAACGGUGACACGAAAA
This is a long non-coding RNA of Ipomoea triloba (trilobed morning glory), 430 nucleotides long. RefSeq lists it as uncharacterized. NCBI's taxonomy places the organism in Eukaryota, Viridiplantae, Streptophyta, Magnoliopsida, Solanales, Convolvulaceae. The record is from RefSeq and is a predicted model, not a curated record. The transcript is spliced from 2 exons.